Notechis scutatus (mainland tiger snake) is the source of this 2081-nucleotide non-coding RNA. Lineage: Eukaryota; Metazoa; Chordata; Lepidosauria; Squamata; Elapidae. The record is from RefSeq and is a predicted model, not a curated record.
CUCACCGAUAAACUUAAAUAUUUAAGAAUGGAAUAGUAUAACAAUGAAAUACAUAUAAUUUUGUUGAAUUUUGUAUGUUCCAUCAAAUGUUAAAGAUAAACUUUGACAAAUAAUCCAUAUAAAAUUUUAUUCACAUAAUUUACAUACAUAAUAUGCCUGCUUUCUUUGAAACAGAAAGCUUUCAUAUGAACAUUACAUACCACUGAAAAUAUGUAUCAAACUUUUCACAAAUUUUUUUGCAUAUUAAUGAAAAUGAGAUAUUCUGUCAAUUAACCAAGGUUUUUGUUUUUCUGUCAUCCGUAAUAUUGAUUUUGCUAUAAAGGAACCUGUAUAUUUUAAAGAAUUUUGUAAACAUUGUCAAGAAAACAUACUAUAGUUUAUAAUAAAAAUUAACAGGAUCUUCUCAUCCUUUCCACUUAGUAAGGAAAGGUAAGGCACCUUAUAGCUUGGUUUCUUUAAUAAGAUGUUUGUGCUAUACUUUUUUUCAUUGAAAUUUAAAAUUAUUACAGCAGAUUAUGGUGGAUUUUUAAGGAUAUAUUCUUCUAUGUAUUAAUAUGAACACACACUGCUCUAUGGUGGAACUAUUUGGGUUAAUUGUUUACAAACAAUAUUUGAAAUGUUUAUUUGGAUCCGUUUUAUCUAUAUGUAUAUUUUAUAAAUAAGAUUCUUGUUUUAUUUAAUUUCCUUACAACACUGCAAAAUUAAAACAGGAAACUUGAAAUUCAAAUCAGUCAAAUCAAUAAAGAAUUGUUAAGUCUCAUAGAGUACUGGCUUUGUUACUAAUAACUACAAUACUGACUUGGAUAUCUUUAGAGAAGAGGCACUGAAAUAAACUGAUCUUUGGUCAUGACAAAUAUUAAUUAAAUGGGUCUAAUGUAAUUUUUUUUAAAGUCUGUUUCCAACCAAUUGUCUAUGUCUGAAUUUUUAAAAAUGCUAAUACCUUUCAUAUCAAAUCCAAUAAUAAUGGAAUGUCUGCCUAUAGUAAUAUUUGCACAGAAUAAAUCUAGGAAAUAAAAGUAGCUUCUUAAUUAGUUUAAAUGGUAUACAUUAACAAUUGCAGAUGCAGACAAUUAUUUUCAUAGAUAUUGCAUAGAUUAAGAAAUAUCUAGAGGAAAAAAAUCCUCUCCAAUCAUUAAUUGCAAUGAAAAAGACACCUAAAUUUAAGAUCCAAUAGCGGGGUUCCUUUUUUCACUCCAAAUUAUACUACAGAUCAAAAAGAAAAAAAAAUCAAAACCCAAUGAGAAAUGGAAUAUGUUUAUAACUUGAAAAAAAACAAAAAAAAAUAAAUUACAUAAAGCAGAAAAGAACCAUAUUUAUGAUGUUGGGGCAACUCUUACUUCCUCAUACAUUCAAUUUUAAUUUCUCCUCUUCACUGGUAUAAUUGGGUUUUUAAAUGGCAGCGUAUCGUUUCAUAUAAAAUUUAGCACUUUAGCACUAAAUAAUAGCGAGGUUAUGUAUAAUAAUAGCGAGGUUAUGUAUCUUCAGGAUAAACAACACAAUAAUCUUUCUGUACAUUGAACUUAAAUAUUUUUUCACAUUUAUGUCUGUACAUUUAAAGACAUUAAACAUUAUUUUUGAAACAAUUCACAUAUAUUCAUUAUAAAAAUACAUAAAAAUAAGUUGACUUCAGAUAUUGUAACCUACAACGUACUAAUUACGUUGAAAAUUCCAGACUUUGUUUAUUUUACAAUGAUAAUAUUCUUUCUAUAAAGGUUUACUUCAUAAAAAGAAGCAAAUAUUAUUUACAUAAGUACUGUGUUGAAGUGGCAUAUGAUCAUUCUGCUAUUCCUCAUUGCAUUUCUAAAUCUAAAUAUGCAUGUUUAGAAAAAUGUACCAUAAUUCAAACAAAAACACAGCUUUUCUGAUCAUGUACAUCUUAAUAUUUAACAUUUUUUCAUCAGUUUCAAAAAUAUCACACUGCUCAGAAUAAAAGAAAAUAUUUUUUGCAUUCAGCAAGUUCCUAUUAAUAUAUUAAUAUAAAUAUAUUAAACAUAAAUCAUUUGUUUAAUUAGGAUAUUACAUUGCUUCUAGGAUUAUUAGAAACCAAGCAUCCCAUAAUCUUUACGGUUAUUCUGAAUCAU